UGCUGUAUCUGGUUUCGUGAUGACUC
RNAcentral lists this non-coding RNA (26 nucleotides) under Rattus norvegicus (Norway rat). The record is from RNAcentral. Lineage: Eukaryota; Metazoa; Chordata; Mammalia; Rodentia; Muridae.